GCCUUCGCGCCCCGCGCCGGGCACGGUCUUGUUCAAGGCGCCAGCCGCUGGCGCGGGAGGGCGAGAGCGAGCGCUGUUGUCCGCCCCCACAACCCGGAUGAACUGGUUUCAUCCUCAAGGUGGUUUAAGGCACGUUGAGCUGCUGCGUAAGCACAGCUGUGAUACAUGCAGCAAGUAUAUCAAGUGGUUCACCAUUAAUGAUUCCUGACUACUAGUUUGCUCCUUCCAUAUCAAGUAAACAUAAGGGGCAUCUUGGAGCUUUUCCUUCUCAGUCCCUUCACCGUUGCAACCAUGGAGGUUGGAGAAGGUGAAACUGGAGGAACACUUGGGCCUGCAGUGCCACAGCCCAUCCCGUUCUUGUUCUGUGAAUAGAGGUCUACACUAAUUCUGAAACUGAGAUUUUCCUUUAUGCAGAAUGUGCUACACAGGUCAAAACACUUACAUAAGCAUAUCGAAAGAGAGUAAAACAAGCAAAGCAUACAUUCUCAGGGGAAAGGCCUGAACUCUGGAAUUCACUUCCUCCACACUAGUCCAACAGAGCGGUUUCUGCUGACCUUCAGAGCACAUUGCGAAACCCCAUCUGUUUAUUUAAUCUUUGCUUGAUGGGACAGGUACUUUUGUUUAACCAUGAGGUUAAUCCUUCAGUGACAUUGAAUGUGAUCAGCUAUGUUUUGAUAAGUAACUUUUUUUUUUUAACCUGGGAGAGUUAAGAAAUGCAUUUUUAUUUAUAAUGAAUAAAAAUGCCAAUUAAAAGCAGAAUACCAAAUCAAAACAUAGAUACAAUAGAGAUUAAAGCAAAACCAACCUGUUCCCUAUCUGUGUACGUGUUUUGUUUCCAUCAGUAAAGCAUACCUGAAAUGUCCAGGAAGUACAAAUUGUUUGAUUUUUCUUUGUUGGCUUCAUUUCUAAGGGAGGGUGCACAAAUCAAAUGUCUCCUACCUGAA
Long non-coding RNA from Gopherus flavomarginatus (Mexican gopher tortoise), 944 nucleotides. RefSeq lists it as uncharacterized. NCBI's taxonomy places the organism in Eukaryota, Metazoa, Chordata, Testudines, Testudinidae. The record is from RefSeq and is a predicted model, not a curated record. The transcript has 3 exons.